RNAcentral lists this ribosomal RNA (203 nucleotides) under uncultured bacterium. Its description in RNAcentral is "partial 16S ribosomal RNA". It matches the Rfam family "Bacterial small subunit ribosomal RNA", at positions 29 to 230 of the family's 1533-position model. The record is from RNAcentral.
AAUGAACGCUGGCGGCGUGCUUUACACAUGCAAGUCGAGCGAGGCGGGUAGCAAUACCCAGUCGAGCGGCGAGCGGGUGAGUAACGCGUGGAUAACCUGCCCAGAGGUGGGGGAGUAACCCGGGGAAACGUACGGGCGUAAUACCGCAUAUGACCGUGAGGUCGGAAGGGGGACGUCGCAAGAGCUCUCGCCAUUGGAGGGGU